This 460-nucleotide ribosomal RNA is filed under the name uncultured bacterium. RNAcentral describes it as "partial 16S ribosomal RNA". It matches the Rfam family "Bacterial small subunit ribosomal RNA", at positions 338 to 795 of the family's 1533-position model. The record is from RNAcentral.
CCUACGGGUGGCAGCAGUGAGGAAUAUUGGUCAAUGGCCGGGAGUCUGAACCAGCCAAGUCGCGUGAAGGAUGACUGCCCUAUGGGUUGUAAACCUCUUUUAUAUGGGAAUAAAACAUGGUAUGCGUCCCCUCAUGUCUGUACCUUAUGAAUAAGCAUCGGCUAACUCCGUGCCAGCAGCCGCGGUAAUACGGAGGAUUCGAGCGUUAUCCGGAUUUAUUGGGUUUAAAGGGUGCGUAGGCGGGUUUUUAAGUCAGUGGUGAAAGUUUGGGGCUUAACCGUAUAAUUGCAGUUGAUACUGGCAGUCUCGAGUACAGUAGAGGUGGGCGGAAUUCGUGGUGUAGCGGUGAAAUGCGUAGAUAUCACGAAGAACUCCGAUUGCGAAGGCAGCUUACUGGACUGCAACUGACACUGAUGCACGAAAGCGUGGGUAGCGAACAGGAUUAGAUACCCGAGUAGUC